RNAcentral lists this ribosomal RNA (1369 nucleotides) under uncultured bacterium. RNAcentral's name for it is "bacterial SSU rRNA". It matches the Rfam family "Bacterial small subunit ribosomal RNA", at positions 28 to 1381 of the family's 1533-position model. The record is from RNAcentral.
GACGAACGCUGGCGGCGUGCCUAAUACACGCAAGUAGAACGCUGAAGAGAGGAGCUUGCUCUUCUUGGAUGAGUUGCGAACGGGUGAGUAACGCGUAGGUAACCUGCCUUGUAGCGGGGGAUAACUAUUGGAAACGAUAGCUAAUACCGCAUAACAAUGGAUGACACAUGUCAUUUAUUUGAAAGGGGCAAUUGCUCCACUACAAGAUGGACCUGCGUUGUAUUAGCUAGUAGGUGAGGUAACGGCUCACCUAGGCGACGAUACAUAGCCGACCUGAGAGGGUGAUCGGCCACACUGGGACUGAGACACGGCCCAGACUCCUACGGGAGGCAGCAGUAGGGAAUCUUCGGCAAUGGGGGCAACCCUGACCGAGCAACGCCGCGUGAGUGAAGAAGGUUUUCGGAUCGUAAAGCUCUGUUGUAAGUCAAGAACGAGUGUGAGAGUGGAAAGUUCACACUGUGACGGUAGCUUACCAGAAAGGGACGGCUAACUACGUGCCAGCAGCCGCGGUAAUACGUAGGUCCCGAGCGUUGUCCGGAUUUAUUGGGCGUAAAGCGAGCGCAGGCGGUUUGAUAGGUCUGAAGUUAAAGGCUGUGGCUCAACCAUAGUUUGCUUUGGAAACUGUCAAACUUGAGUGCAGAAGGGGAGAGUGGAAUUCCAUGUGUAGCGGUGAAAUGCGUAGAUAUAUGGAGGAACACCGGUGGCGAAAGCGGCUCUCUGGUCUGUAACUGACGCUGAGGCUCGAAAGCGUGGGGAGCGAACAGGAUUAGAUACCCUGGUAGUCCACGCCGUAAACGAUGAGUGCUAGGUGUUGGAUCCUUUCCGGGAUUCAGUGCCGCAGCUAACGCAUUAAGCACUCCGCCUGGGGAGUACGACCGCAAGGUUGAAACUCAAAGGAAUUGACGGGGGCCCGCACAAGCGGUGGAGCAUGUGGUUUAAUUCGAAGCAACGCGAAGAACCUUACCAGGUCUUGACAUCCCGAUGCUAUUUCUAGAGAUAGAAAGUUACUUCGGUACAUCGGUGACAGGUGGUGCAUGGUUGUCGUCAGCUCGUGUCGUGAGAUGUUGGGUUAAGUCCCGCAACGAGCGCAACCCCUAUUGUUAGUUGCCAUCAUUCAGUUGGGCACUCUAGCGAGACUGCCGGUAAUAAACCGGAGGAAGGUGGGGAUGACGUCAAAUCAUCAUGCCCCUUAUGACCUGGGCUACACACGUGCUACAAUGGUUGGUACAACGAGUUGCAAGUCGGUGACGGCAAGCUAAUCUCUUAAAGCCAAUCUCAGUUCGGAUUGUAGGCUGCAACUCGCCUACAUGAGGUCGGAAUCGCUAGUAAUCGCGGAUCAGCACGCCGCGGUGAAUACGUUCCCGGGCCU